GUAGGUGGCAAGCGUUGUCCGGAAUUAUUGGGCGUAAAGCGCGCGCAGGCGGUUCUUUAAGUCUGAUGUGAAAGCCCACGGCUCAACCGUGGAGGGUCAUUGGAAACUGGAGAACUUGAGUACAGAAGAGGAAAGCGGAAUUCCGCGUGUAGCGGUGAAAUGCGUAGAGAUGUGGAGGAACACCAGUGGCGAAGGCGGCUUUCUGGUCUGUAACUGACGCUGAGGCGCGAAAGCGUGGGGAGCAAACAGGGAUUAGAUACCCUGGUAGUCCACGCCGUAAACGAUGAGUGCUAAGUGUUAGGGGGUUUCCGCCCCCUUAGUGCUGCAGCUAACGCAUUAAGCACUCCGCCUGGGGAGUACGGCCGCAAGGCUG
This 373-nucleotide ribosomal RNA is filed under the name uncultured organism. Its description in RNAcentral is "partial 16S ribosomal RNA". It matches the Rfam family "Bacterial small subunit ribosomal RNA", at positions 527 to 896 of the family's 1533-position model. The record is from RNAcentral.